UACGGAGGGGGCUAGCGUUGUUCGGAAUUACUGGGCGUAAAGCGCGCGUAGGCGGCUUUGUAAGUCAGAGGUGAAAGCCUGGAGCUCAACUCCAGAACUGCCUUUGAAUCUACAUCGCUAGAAUUGUGGAGAGGUAAGUGGAAUUCCGAGUGUAGAGGUGAAAUUCGUAGAUAUGCGGAAGAACACCGGUGGCGAAGGCGGCUCACUGGCCCGUAACUGACGCUCAGGCGCGAUAGCGUGGGGAUCAAACAGG
RNAcentral lists this ribosomal RNA (253 nucleotides) under uncultured bacterium. RNAcentral describes it as "partial 16S ribosomal RNA". It matches the Rfam family "Bacterial small subunit ribosomal RNA", at positions 524 to 776 of the family's 1533-position model. The record is from RNAcentral.